UAGUCUUGUUCUGACAUUAUAUCCUUUAGGAGACGACUAUUGAAGAGCUAAAACAACAGUUUAUCAAGAAACAGGAUGCUAAAGGAUUCAUUGUGGAUGGAUUCCCCAGAGAGAUCUCACAGACGUUCACCUUUGAGGAGCAGAUUGGCUCUCCAGACUUGGUGAUCUUGCUUGCCUGCUCUAAUCAGCAACUCCGGCAGCGUUUAGAGAAAAGAGCAUCCCAGCAGGGCCGCCCCGAUGACAAUACUCGUGCAAUUGAGAAGAGACUAGAUACCUUCAAACACAAUAUCACACUCAUAGCCAAGUACUACCAGGAGAGAGGACUUAUUGUAAGGGUCGAUGCGGAUCGAGAAGAAGACGAUAUUUUCACAGAUAUUUGUGCCAUUGUAGAGGAAAGAUUGUUCCCUAGUGACACGAAUACAAGCAGUACUGAGGAUCUUUAGAGGGACGUCUACACAUCUAAACCCACAGUUGCUCCUAUUAAUCCUAAAUGUAAUUUAAACAUUUUCCACUAUAUUUCAUCAAUUAUCUCGAGGGUCAGGAUCAGUGAAAAGGGACACUUACACUUAUUUUGUUGCCUCUAUUUGUACUUCACUGUGAAUUUUCUCCGUACAUCUUUUGCAGUAAUGCCUUUAAAGCAGAGACCUUUGUUGUUUUGACCUGAUUUUAUUAAUGUAUAUUUAGAGGUCAAGCCAGAAAUAAAGAGUUGAUAAAAAAUGCACCAAAGUAAAAUUCAGUAUCAAUGUCAAAUGCAACAACAUCAACUGUUUUCAAACAAAUUACCUCACCUAUUUGUACUACAACAAGCAUUAAAAUGGAUUAAAUUACAACUGAUUAAUACAGUGUUUCUGCUGUUCUGAGGACAUGGUUUCAUCUUACACCACAUUAUGAACGCACUGGAUAAAAAAAAUAAUAGAGAUGCAACAAACAUGUCCUCAGGCUGUGUUCUCAUUAAUAGAUGUUCAAUCCAGCUGUGCCACAAUCUCACAGUGGGACCUCUGUGAAUAUAGACAUUCUGCCCUUGUUGGCAGACCUUGACCAAGUGCCAAAACGCUGUCACUUUAAAUACAGAGGAGAAUAGAAACAUGCUUAUUGAAAGAUGAUUCAUAGUAGACUAACAAGUGGUAAAGUUAAGUAUCAUUUAAUAGCGAUACAAUCUCUACACUCACUUUGCUAUGUAGAUGGACAUUUCUGGCUAAAAAAAUGAAACAACAUUUAAGCCACUAGAUGGCAGACUUUUAUUCUUUAAAAAUCAUUUGUUCAUUUAUCCUCACUGGUUGGAAAGUUAUGUCAUAGCCAUUUACAAAAAUACUUUCUUAUUCCAUUUUAACAAAUUAAUAUUUUGAAUUUUUAAGUUUUGUAAAAUUGAUUAAUAAAGAAAAAAUGUUUCUUUAAAAAAAUGUUUGGAAAAAAGUUUGCUUUGAGUACGCUUUAAACUAGACUUAAAGUUGUAUCUUUAGUGUGCUUAAAAUACUGUGUUAUGAACAGCAUCACUGUGACGGAGUGAUGGUAUGUGCUGGCUCUCAGAAUAGAUUCAAGCUUAUCACCUGUCUGGCAAAUUUCUUGCAGCUCUUAGUGGCAUGAGUUGGAGAUUCUUCCAUGCUCAAAUAUAUGCUUAAGGUUUGAAAUGUACAACUUUGAAUUAUGCAUCACAUAUGACAUAAAUGCACUUUGUUUUGAAUGUUGUUCUUCGUGUUACAUAGCCAGAACAGAAUUAUAUCAAUGAACACUAAAACCUUUACAUGUUUCUCUACUCUCAAAUUUCUUGAACUUCUCCUCUAGAAUGGGGAUAAGACUACAAUGCUCCUUUAAAAUAGAGUUUUUAUUUGUUUGUUUUUAAAAUGUUUGUAUUGUGCACACUAUCUUGGAAGAAUAGAAGAUAUUUUGAGAGAUGUCGAACUGCUUUUAUUCCAUACAAUUGAUGUCAAUGAUCAGACCAAAACUGUUUGAUUACCCAGUUAGUUCACCCACAAAUGAAAACUAUGUUAUCAUUUAAUAGGUUGGAUAGCUUUUAAGUUGGUGUUACCUGGAAAAACUUGACAUUCACCCUGUCUUUGGCAUGAUUGUGAAAGAAGAAGCAAAAAAUAAUUUUUAGACUAAUCUUUUUGGUUGAUCUAGUUAAAGGGAUAUUUUAAAUGUUUAAAAUAUUUAA
Non-coding RNA from Pimephales promelas (fathead minnow), 2152 nucleotides. Lineage: Eukaryota; Metazoa; Chordata; Actinopteri; Cypriniformes; Leuciscidae. The record is from RefSeq and is a predicted model, not a curated record.